UUACUCAGUAGGUUUGUAGUUAAG
RNAcentral lists this non-coding RNA (24 nucleotides) under Cricetulus griseus (Chinese hamster). The record is from RNAcentral. Lineage: Eukaryota; Metazoa; Chordata; Mammalia; Rodentia; Cricetidae.